GACGAACGCUGGCGGCGUGCUUAACACAUGCAAGUCGAACGAUUAAGCGGGUGCUUGCACUCGUGGAUUAGUGGCGAACGGGCGAGUAACACGUGAGUAACCUGUCCUUUUCUUUGGGAUAACGGCUGGAAACGGCUGCUACUACUGGAUAUUCAGGCUGCAUCGCAGGGUGUGGUUUGGAAAGGCUUUUUCUGGGAUUGGGUGGGCGCGCUGCCUAUCAGCUGGUUGGUGGGGUGAUGGCUGACCAAGUCUUUGACGGGUAGCCGGCCUGAGAGGGUGGUCGGUCGCACUGGGACUGAGAUGCGGCCCAGAGUCCUCCGGGGGGCAGCAGUGGGGACUAUUGCACAAUGGACGAAAGUUUGAUGCCGCGUCGCCGCGUGGAGGGUGUAGGCCUUCGGGUUGUGAACUCCUUUUUCUCGCGAAAAAGGCUCAGUUUUGGCUGUGUUGAUGGUAGUGGGGGAAGAAGCGCCGGCUAACUACGUG
RNAcentral lists this ribosomal RNA (483 nucleotides) under uncultured bacterium. Its description in RNAcentral is "partial 16S ribosomal RNA". It matches the Rfam family "Bacterial small subunit ribosomal RNA", at positions 28 to 507 of the family's 1533-position model. The record is from RNAcentral.